RNAcentral lists this transfer RNA (67 nucleotides) under Onthophagus vulpes. RNAcentral describes it as "tRNA-Pro". Lineage: Eukaryota; Metazoa; Arthropoda; Insecta; Coleoptera; Scarabaeidae. The record is from RNAcentral.
CAGAAAAUAGUUUAUGAAAAUUUUAAUUUUGGAGAUUAAAGAUAGGAGGAAUAUCUUCUUUUUCUGA